AUUUGAUCCACUCGCUUGUUGGGAUUCUUACAUUUCUCUCUCAUACUCUUUGCCCUGUUCCUGUUCCCCCAAUCCCUUUGUGUUGGAAAGUCCAAGACUUUAGUCUUUACAGCCCUCGACCAGCUAAUCCAUCCAAUCCAAGAUAAUUCCAACCAGCCACACAGGCAUUUAGAUACUAAAAUGUACUGAUGACUCCCAGUUCAUUUCUUCAGACCAGACCUCUCCUUGAACUUCACAUCCAUAUAUCUGACUAAUUAUUUGGCAUCUCUAUUUGGAUGUCUAAUAAAUGUCUCAAACUCAUACUCAAAAUUUAUCAUUUCUUGUCCUCCCCCAUGACAAUAUCUGCUUCUCCAGCAGACCUUGGCAUCCCAAAGAGUCCAUCCUGCUGACUGCUCAGAACCUUGGAGCCAUCUUGGAUCCUUUUUCCCAAGUCUCAUCUCAAAGCCCAUCCAUCAGCAUAUCCUGUCAGCUCAGCCUUCAGACUGCAUCCAGAAUCUGAUUGCUUCUGCUGAGUUCUACUGGUGCCAUUGUGCUCAAGGAAGCUGUUCUGUGUCACCUGGAAUACUGCCCCUAUGCUCUGCUUGUAAUUUAGUCCUAAUACAGAAUCUAAAGUGGUCCUGUAAGAUCCUAAGUCAGAUAAGGUGGUAUGUUUGGGAGAGGUUGCUGUGUGUAACUCCUUUGGGCUGCGAAGCAGAAAACAGGACUGAAGGCCUGGGGAACUUAAUCCAGAACUCUGAGCACCAAUUGCAUGAAGAAACCACCUGGGAAGCAUUUGUGCUGCCCUUUCAAAAGGGUUAGCUUCCCUUCAAUUCAGCCAAGCCAGACACAACUCCUGAUGUCAGUUUCACGGCGAAGAUCUUGACAGGAGGGUAUGACCACUGGGAUUUGUGUGGACAGUGUUGCUUAGAAAAAAAGUUUUACACCACCACAAAUGCUAAGACCUUAAAGCUAGAGGUGGCUCCUUAACUAUAGUUAUUAGUAAUAAUUUCUCUUAGAAACAAGUUGCUGUGCUUGACAAUUAUUUUCUCUGUCAUCUGAAUCUUUUGUUCCACAUCCACAAUAUCAAAGGUUAAGGUGUAGGUUGAGGGUUCCAAAUCUCCUCAAUCACCUCCUUCAAAUGACCCCUAUUCUAAAGCCAUUGUUUCUGCCACUAAUCUGUCUGUCAGACACAUGCAUUGGUGCUGUCCUCUAGUCCUUCCUCCUCGUGUGGUAUUUAGGGUCCUCUUCUAAUUCUCUGGAGACUGCAGGCACCCCUCCCUAAACACUAUGGAGCUGGCGUGCAUUGCAUCUGCAGGGACUCACAGUCUGGUCUGCUGUUCACUGCAAAGGGCUUCUAUUCUCAGAGACCAGGGCUCACAGACAGGGUGGGAGCUCUCUGCCUAGAGAGGUCCUGAGAUGCCUGUAAUAAAAAGCUCCAGAAGGUAGGAUUUCAAGAGUUCAAGAUUCCUAAGAGUCGGACCCUCUGAGAUGCAUCACUGACAUGAGCCCACAUCACUCUGGGCAGCUACUAAAACAUCCCCCUGGGUUGCUCCAGUCUGCCAUAUUGACAGAUAAGAUUCUGCUUCUUAGCCUAGUUAGUGUCUAGUGAACAAUAAAUGCUCAAUUUAAGUUAAUUGUUAUCAAUUUAGCUGUUAAUUAACCACCAGAAGGAGCCGAUUACUGUCUUUCAUCUCCUACCCUUCAUCUCGGGAGAACAGGUGAGCAUUGUCUCAGGAGAGCUGUGGGUAGUGAUGCUUGUGGACUCAAUUGUGCACCCCCGAUUGUGAAUCCCCAAGCUCCAUU
RNAcentral lists this long non-coding RNA (1782 nucleotides) under Cricetulus griseus (Chinese hamster). RNAcentral's name for it is "lncRNA (ENSCGRG00015032321.1)". Lineage: Eukaryota; Metazoa; Chordata; Mammalia; Rodentia; Cricetidae. The record is from RNAcentral.